UUUCAGCAUGUAUAGUAGAUGGUAGAAGUUAUAAUGUUGGCCAAACUUUUACAAUAUCAUUUAGUGGACCCUGCAUAGAGUACACCUGUCAUAGCGGGGGUUACAGUGCCACAAAGUUUGAAUGUGAUGAUGGACAUGGAAAAUGUUUGCCUCUUGGUUAUAUUAAAACAAACGGUCAAUGUAUUCGAUCUCAAUGUGCGAGAUCAGGUUCAGCUAUAGGAUUCUACCCAUUAUCCACAGGAUGUCAAGUAGGUAAUACAUGUUUAAAAGUUGGAGAGAGUUAUGUAGACAGGUGUUUUACAUACCAAUGUAAAGAAACCAACAUGGGAUCAUACACCACUUAUAAAGCAAAGCUCAUAACCGAAGGUUGUGCAAAGAAUGCUGUACCACCAUAUGACUGUGUACCUCUCAACAGUGUAAUAAAAGAGGGUUGUAUUAGCAAGCAGUGUUUAAAUACGAACAAUAGAUAUUCGUUGCAAGUGAUUGAUAACGGCAGUGGAUGUUAUGAUGGUGCAACAUGUCGACCAAUAGGAUCAACUUGGACAGACAAGUGUGAAACAAAAACCUGCUACAAACACAAUCCUUUGCCUGGUUAUACAGCAUUUCAAAUAAGAAGUUCACAAACGCAAUGUGAAGGUAUUAAUGGCAGCUGUCAUCCUAUUGGAAGUCGAUUUUCCAAGGAUAUGAAGGGUCAACUAACACACAACUGUACCUGUCAUAAAAUUUUAAAUUAUAUACAGUAUACCUGUAAUAACUAAUAUUAUAAGUUAAUACUUUUAAACAAAUGAACCUAUAACAACAUAUUGUCCAUUUAAAACUAAAAUUAACAUCUUUCUAUCAUAACCAGAUUGUGCAUUUGAUAUAUUUGAAUACAACAUUGAUUAUACUUAUAGUAAAUGAUAUUUUACGAAAAUGCUAUUUCUUAUAAUUUCUUAUGAUUGUUUUAUUUUGUUUACUAUCAAUGUGUAUAUUAAGUUUAUUUGGUUUUAAUUGAUUCUUACAGUGUCUCGUGUCAAUCAAUGUAUAGUGUUAAUAAUAAUAUUGUCUUGGCUUUGUGUUAGCAAAUUCACACAGAUUUGUAGAAGUACCUUGAUACACCUAUAGCACGUCAAACAGACACUGCAAUUAUUUCCUUUAUCAAAUCCCAUGUCCCAUAUACACAUCGAGUUUUCAUAUAUAUUUCACCAUUUUUAUUCACCCAUAAAUGUCAUGCAGAGCCUAAUAAUUGAUUGCAGUUUUCUUGAAAACUCUGUGUUUAGGUUAUUUUUUAUUUCUUGAUUUCUUUGUUUAAAAAAAAGAGAAAAAUCAUCUUUAUCAUCUUUAUUUUCGUUCUGUCAUAAACUAUUAACAUAAAACUUGUUUUUAU
Patella vulgata (common limpet) is the source of this 1366-nucleotide long non-coding RNA. RefSeq lists it as uncharacterized. NCBI's taxonomy places the organism in Eukaryota, Metazoa, Mollusca, Gastropoda, Patellidae. The record is from RefSeq and is a predicted model, not a curated record. The transcript is spliced from 6 exons.